CUUUGAGAGCCAUCAGAUGCCUGCAGCUAAUCUCGCUUUCAGGAGAGGCAGCGAGGAGGAACUGCGCCGAUUUAUUCCCUUCGACCGAGCCUGAGCUCACCCGCCGUUGUCUCUGCGACGUAUUGCAACGUGCCCAACCCCUCCUUCAGCCAGCGGCGCUGGCAGGAGUACCUGCUGCUCUCCAAACGUCACCCGGCUCCGGUUAUAAAACACGGUGAUAUACCAUCUCCCCGGCUCCAUCUCUCCGAGAAGCGCAUCUUCAAGAAGCGAGCUGUACACGGGUGGAAAGAUGUUUUGUUCGGGUAUCCUGACAGAGCCCAGUAGGAAAGAAGUGGAGAUAAGGGAAGCAGCAUCUCUCCGGCAGCAGAGGAGGAUGAAGCAGGCGGUUCAGUUUAUUCACAAAGAUUCUGCAGAUCUCCUCCCUCUGGAUGGGCUGAAGAAGCUGGGGACUUCGAAAGAUACUCAACCACAUAAUAUCCUGCAGAAGCGCCUGAUGGAGACAAAUUUAUCAAAAUUACGAAGCAGCCGAGGCGGGUGGACCCCUAAGAGUGAUAUCUCAGCACAGACCAACAAACUGAAUCAAACCAAACUGGGCAGCUCAGGGAAAACAGAGGAUGAGGAGCUCAUAAUGGUGAGCUGCCAGUGUGCGGGGCAGGAGCUGAAGGCUGUAGUGGACACUGGCUCACAGCACAACCUCAUGUCAUCUGCCUGCCUGGACAGACUUGGGUUAAAGGAGCACCUCAAAGCACUCCCUGGUGAUGAGGAGGUGGUUUCACUGCUGAACAAGGUGAGGGCAAUCGGCCAGAUCGAGCACCUCACCCUCACGCUGGGAGCCAUCCCUGUGGAGUGCGCUGCCCUCGUCGUGGAAGACAAUGAGAAACCCUUUUCCUUUGGGCUGCAGACACUUAAAUCUCUGAAGUGUGUCAUAAACAUGGAGAAGCACCACCUUGUUCUGGGGAAGACAGAAAGGGAAGAAAUCCCAUUUGUGGGCAGUGGCAGCACUGUGGAAGGAGAGCAGUAAGUUAUUGGCUGGGGGAGAGCUGCAUGUGCACCGCAGAGCCUGACGGCAGUGUCCCCAGCAUGGCCAUGGGGGAGCCCCCAGACCCUCGCUGCAGGCAGGCAAGAGCUCAUUGUUUUCAUCAGUGAAUUGAGUUUUGAAACAGAGUUCCAGGCUUUUUCAGCGGCCUUUUUCAGCUUUUGCUGCCUUUUUUUUCCCCCCAGUAAGCAUUGUACAGCAAAGGGGGUGUCUUAACAUGUGCUUUUUGGAGGUCACUGGAAAGACUACUUGAGCUCUGCUUUGAGAGUGUUCCCAAAUAAACCUUUUUCUGGAAAAAGUUUGUGAAGGUGAGUAAGCCCACAUGAAUCUUUUGCAAAGUGCAGGAGAGAGAAAUCCUGCCUGGAGAUAACAGUGUUGCCUCUUCUCCCCACUUGCCUCAGCUGCCCUCCUGCCAGCUGCUCAUGAUGACCCUGACUUUUUCAGCCUUAUUUCUAUACAGAAAGAGAAAUCUGUGCUGUCCACUCUGGUACCUCCUUAAUGUGUGUAGCUUGUGACAGCUGGCUCUGCAAGCAGCAGGUAAGGCAAUCCAGGCACUGCAUGGGGCUCCUCCUUGCUGAGCACUGUGAAGAAGAGACAUCUCACUGCCUCCUGCCUCUGACUUAGGAAACUCACAGGCAUCAGGUGCCUGAGAGGAGGAUUUGCACCUGUGUGCCUCUCUGGCUUCACAGGCAUCACUUGUCGUUGCUCAGCAAUGAGUGCUGCAGACACAGCCAUCUAAAAAAUGUUUGCUCACUGCAUAAGAAAGCUUCUUCGGUGAAUGAUGUAGGGCAGCACUUUUAGCUGCCUGUAAUGACCAGCCACAGUCAUUUUGGAUGUCCUGCAGUCCCUGUGCAGCUCAAGCCUGCUGUGCUGGGCACUGCUGAGCUUGAGGAGCCCAGGUGGGAGCGGGGAAGGAGCAGACCUUCCCCAGCUAAUGGUAUCUAUGUUCCUUGGGGAGUACAUGGCAGGUGUACACAGUAGCGCCGGGAGUCAGGACAAGAGGGCAUGUGCACCCCUCAUGUGCCCCGGACAUCCACCCACUGUGUGUCCAGGGCAGCUCUGUGGCCACGGAUGCUUCCAGCACACGAGCCCAGGGAGUGCCUGGUACAGCACCACAGGAGUUCAGAGGCAUAAAGAGAAACUGAAGCACCGUCCCCACACAAGAGCUUGACAUCAAACAAAUCCUGUGCAGCUGCUCCAGAUGAAACAGCAGCACCACUGCUUUGAAAACAUUUAUACUAGGCUACAGCUUGAGUAGAGCUGAAUUAAAUCCUGUUCAGUAGCCAGUAAUUUAGAGAUAUUGUCAUAUUUAUCUAUGGGUUUUGAGAAACAAAUGUGUGCUUAUUUUCUGGACUUUUCUAUAUAGUGUCCUCUUUAUUAUGAAAGGUUGGGAAGACCUUAUGUAUUUCUUCUGAUGAGAAAAAUACUUUUUUAUAGUGGCCUCGUAUGAGUAAUUGUAUUUAGCUGUGAUUAGAGGCUAUCAGAAUUAAAUUUUUAUUAAUGAUUUUUUCAGAGGCUAAGCAUUUAUACUCCCUUAAUUGAUAUUGCCACAUUCAAAUGGCCAUUACCAGGAAGUUACUCAGAGUAAAAUAACAAUGCUAAUACCACCUAAGAAUUAUAGCUCAUCCUGUUAGCAUAAUAUUGUUGCCAUGUAAUUAGGGAUGCAACUGCUGGCUUGAUGAGAAAGAGCAAUUACAGAAUUAUUCAUGGGUUAUAGGCUUCUCUGCAGUGGCGUGGCAGAAGCACAGAAAGAGGGCUUGGGAGGGCUCCUGGGGUGAUCUCCCGCAGCCCCGGCUCAGUGCGGGGUCAACACCAGCAGCCCGCCAUGGUGCUGCCUCCCUGGGGCUUGAAACUCCCUGAGGAGGGAUCCUCCAGGCAGGUCUCAGCUGCCUUCCUAGCAGGAGCAGUCAGGAAAAGUAAUCAUUGUAUUGAGCCAAAAAGCAACAAACAAGCACAAAAGUACAUUGUCCAAAAGGCAGCAGAUAUAGAGCCUCAUUGAUGUAUCAGGAACCAAACUGCCCCAAUGUGCCCCCGGUUCUCCAUUGCGCCAGGACAGGUGCCUCUGCCUGGGGCACCAGCAGCACCUAUGCUCUCACUCAUGCGAGUUACUGACUCCAGCUGGACUUCGGUGUUGCUGCCAGAAAUGCCAUAUUCUAUCUAUAUGUAUUUACAAAUUGAUUGGGAUCUUAGGCACAACACUGACCUUGAUCACCCUCAGGGCAGGUGGGAGUUUUCACCAGGACGAUCAUUUCAUGGGAAUUAACUACUGUCAUCUGCUGAAGAGGCAUCUUUAAAAUGCAGAAUAACACCCUUGUGAUGUUCUGCAUCUGCUGAUGGCUAGUCCCGCUGCAGACAGCUCUGCAAGGGCCGGUUAUGUAUGUGGGGAGCAGGACUGCUGCUUUGGCAGCUCUUGCUUGGAAAAAACCCUUUCUCCCCAGGCAGGCACAGGCUGCAGCACAGCUCAGCCAGGCUGGGGGUUCUCCCAUGGGGGUCCAAGUGGCUGCUCGUGUGCUUGAGCCUCCCUGCAGACAUUGAUGUGCUGCUCACCCCUGCAUCCCACUGCGCUGAGCAUCACCUGCAAGCAACGGCAUUCUUGCUGGCAAUUCCACUUAGGAAAUGUCUCAACAGUCCUGGGCAAGGACCAGUCACUCUUGCCACUUCGUGGCCAUCGGCUCAGGUCUGGAGCCUGUCCUGUCAGUCUGUGCCCAGUAAUGCCAUGGCAUCGAAGCUGGAUAUUUAUCUCCUGCAGUGGGUGGAAACAUCUUUUCAAUAUUGGGUAUGACUAGCAAGUCUGAAUUACCUGUAUUUUGAGCUAUUUUCUAUUUUGGUGAUAAGUUUCAGUGCUUUAUCUACAUACAGUUUUUAUAUAAGACAGCUAUAUAUAUAUUGAUAUUUAUAGGGUUGGGCUGCCCACGUCAGUCUCACCAGUGUGUUGUAGAAAUAUUUCACUAAAUAUGGAAUAUAUUUGAUUAUUUUGUAUGCUAUGAGUUUGGUAUUUUGGUACUUCAUUCUUUCUGUGCUCAUUUCUGUGUUAAAUGUCAAAUUAAAUAUAAAUAAAGUUUAAUUGUUAUUGCUGUUUA
This is an RNA transcript of Columba livia (rock pigeon), 4116 nucleotides long. It is a transcript of the gene named nuclear receptor interacting protein 3, with no coding region annotated. Lineage: Eukaryota; Metazoa; Chordata; Aves; Columbiformes; Columbidae. The transcript is spliced from 7 exons. The record is from RefSeq and is a predicted model, not a curated record.